This 434-nucleotide ribosomal RNA is filed under the name uncultured bacterium. RNAcentral's name for it is "partial 16S ribosomal RNA". It matches the Rfam family "Bacterial small subunit ribosomal RNA", at positions 29 to 508 of the family's 1533-position model. The record is from RNAcentral.
AACGAACGCUGGCGGCAUGCCUAACACAUGCAAGUCGAACGAGACCUUCGGGUCUAGUGGCGCACGGGUGCGUAACGCGUGGGAACCUGCCCUUAGGUUCGGAAUAACUCCCCGAAAGGGGUGCUAAUACCGGAUAAUGUCUUCGGACCAAAGAUUUAUCGCCUUUGGAUGGGCCCGCGUUGGAUUAGCUAGUUGGUAGGGUAAAAGCCUACCAAGGCGACGAUCCAUAGCUGGUCUGAGAGGAUGAUCAGCCACACUGGGACUGAGACACGGCCCAGACUCCUACGGGAGGCAGCAGUGGGGAAUAUUGGACAAUGGGCGAAAGCCUGAUCCAGCAAUGCCGCGUGAGUGAUGAGGGCCUUAGGGUUGUAAAGCUCUUUUACCCGGGAUGAUAAUGACAGUACCGGGAGAAUAAGCUCCGGCUAACUCCGUGC